Non-coding RNA from Schistosoma mattheei, 42 nucleotides. The record is from Rfam. Lineage: Eukaryota; Metazoa; Platyhelminthes; Trematoda; Strigeidida; Schistosomatidae.
ACUCAGCUGAGUCCCAAAUAGGAGGAAAUGCGUGUCCUGAAU